RNAcentral lists this ribosomal RNA (492 nucleotides) under uncultured bacterium. RNAcentral describes it as "partial 16S ribosomal RNA". It matches the Rfam family "Bacterial small subunit ribosomal RNA", at positions 29 to 507 of the family's 1533-position model. The record is from RNAcentral.
AGUGAACGCUGGCGGUAGGCCUAACACAUGCGAGUCGAACGGCAGCACAGUAAGAGCUUGCUCUUACGGGUGGCGAGUGGCGGACGGGUGAGGAAUACAUCGGAAUCUACUUUUUCGUGGGGGAUAACGUAGGGAAACUUACGCUAAUACCGCAUACGACCUACGGGUGAAAGCAGGGGAUCUUCGGACCUUGCGCGAUUGAAUGAGCCGAUGUCGGAUUAGCUAGUUGGCGGGGUAAAGGCCCACCAAGGCGACGAUCCGUAGCUGGUCUGAGAGGAUGAUCAGCCGCACUGGAACUGAGACACGGUCCAGACUCCUACGGGAGGCAGCAGUGGGGAAUAUUGGACAAUGGGCGCAAGCCUGAUCCAGCCAUACCGCGUGGGUGAAGAAGGCCUUCGGGUUGUAAAGCCCUUUUGUUGGGAAAGAAAAGCAGCAGGUUAAUACCCCGCUGUUCUGACGGUACCCAAAGAAUAAGCACCGGCUAACUUCGUG